Molecule: ribosomal RNA, 497 nt
Filed under: uncultured bacterium
Lineage: Bacteria
Description: partial 16S ribosomal RNA
Rfam family: Bacterial small subunit ribosomal RNA
Source: RNAcentral
GAUGAACGCUGGCGGCGUGCCUAAUACAUGCAAGUCGAGCGAACGGACGAGAAGCUUGCUUCUCUGAUGUUAGCGGCGGACGGGUGAGUAACACGUGGAUAACCUACCUAUAAGACUGGGAUAACUUCGGGAAACCGGAGCUAAUACCGGAUAAUAUUUUGAACCGCAUGGUUCAAAAGUGAAAGACGUUCUUGCUGUCACUUAUAGAUGGAUCCGCGCUGCAUUAGCUAGUUGGUAAGGUAACGGCUUACCAAGGCAACGAUGCAUAGCCGACCUGAGAGGGUGAUCGGCCACACUGGAACUGAGACACGGUCCAGACUCCUACGGGAGGCAGCAGUAGGGAAUCUUCCGCAAUGGGCGAAAGCCUGACGGAGCAACGCCGCGUGAGUGAUGAAGGUCUUCGGAUCGUAAAACUCUGUUAUUAGGGAAGAACAUAUGUGUAAGUAACUGUGCACAUCUUGACGGUACCUAAUCAGAAAGCCACGGCUAACUACGUG